GUGGAGGCUAUAUACAGGGGUACCGGUACAGAGUCAAUGUGGAGGCUAUAUACAGGGGGUACCGGUACAGAGUCAAUGUGGAGGCUAUAUACAGGGGGUACCGGUACAGAGUCAAUGUGGAGGCUAUAUACAGGGGUACCGGUACAGAGUCAAUGUGGAGGCUAUAUACAGGGGGUACCGGUACAGAGUCAAUGUGGAGGCUAUAUACAGGGGGUACCGGUACAGAGUCAAUGUGGAGGCUAUAUACAGGGUGUUAUGGUACAGAGUCAAUGUGGAGGCUAUAUACAGGGGGGUACCAGUACAGAGUCAAUGUGGAGGCUAUAUACAGGGGGUACCAGUACAGAGUCAAUGUGGAGGCUAUAUACAGGGUGUUACGGUACAGAGUCAAUGUGGAGGCUAUAUACAGGGG
This is a long non-coding RNA of Oncorhynchus tshawytscha (Chinook salmon), 409 nucleotides long. NCBI's taxonomy places the organism in Eukaryota, Metazoa, Chordata, Actinopteri, Salmoniformes, Salmonidae. The record is from Ensembl.